Molecule: transfer RNA, 57 nt
Filed under: Gregarina niphandrodes
Lineage: Eukaryota; Apicomplexa; Conoidasida; Eugregarinorida; Gregarinidae
Rfam family: tRNA
About the family: Transfer RNA (tRNA) molecules are approximately 80 nucleotides in length. Their secondary structure includes four short double-helical elements and three loops (D, anti-codon, and T loops).
Source: Rfam by way of RNAcentral
UGGUGCAAUGGUUACCACUGGAGACUCUGAAUCUCCCGAUCAGGGUUCGAUUCCCUG